CUGCUGCCUUCCGUAGGAGUCUGGGCCGUGUCUCAGUCCCAGUGUGGCUGGUCGUCCUCUCAGACCAGCUACUGAUCGUUGCUUUGGUGAGCCGUUACCUCACCAACCGGCUAAUCAGUCAUCGGCCGCUCCGCUCGCGAGAGGCCCUUGCGGGUCCCCCUCUUUCUUCCGUAGAACUCAUGCGGUAUUAGCCAACCUUUCGGCUGGUUGUCCCCCACGAGCGGACACGUUCCGAUGUAUUACUCACCCGUUCGCCA
This 257-nucleotide ribosomal RNA is filed under the name uncultured bacterium. RNAcentral describes it as "partial 16S ribosomal RNA". The record is from RNAcentral.